GAUGAAGAACGCAGCGAAAUGCGAUAAGUAAUGUGAAUUGCAGAAUUCAGUGAAUCAUCGAAUCUUUGAACGCACAUUGCGCCCGCCAGCAUUCUGGCGGGCAUGCCUGUUCGAGCGUCAUUUCAACCCUCGAGCCCCCCCGGGGGCCUCGGUGUUGGGGGACGGCACACCAGCCGCCCCCGAAAUGCAGUGGCGACCCCGCCGCAGCUUCCCCUGCGUAGUAGCACACACCUCGCACCGGAGCGCGGAGGCGGUCACGCCGUAAAACGCCCAACUUUCUUAGAGUUGACCUCGGAUCAGGUAGGAAUACCCGCUGAACUUAAGCAUAUCAAUAAGCGGAGGA
Molecule: unclassified non-coding RNA, 343 nt
Filed under: soil metagenome
Description: partial contains 5.8S ribosomal RNA, internal transcribed spacer 2, and large subunit ribosomal RNA
Rfam family: 5.8S ribosomal RNA (bases 1-120)
Source: RNAcentral